This 910-nucleotide ribosomal RNA is filed under the name uncultured archaeon. RNAcentral's name for it is "bacterial SSU rRNA". It matches the Rfam family "Archaeal small subunit ribosomal RNA", at positions 1 to 922 of the family's 1478-position model. The record is from RNAcentral.
UUCCGGUUGAUCCUGCCGGACCUGACUGCUAUCGGAUUGAUACUAAGCCAUGCGAGUCUUUGUAGCAAUACAAGGCAGACGGCUCAGUAACACGUAGUCAAUCUAACCUAUGGACGAGGAUAACCUCGGGAAACUGAGAAUAAUACUCGAUAGAUCAUAAUGCCUGGAAUGGUUUAUGGUCCAAAUGAAUUUCGCCAUAGGGUGGGACUGCGGUCUAUCAGCUUGUUGGUGAGGUAAUGGCCCACCAAGGCUAUAACAGAUACGGGCUCUGAGAGGAGAAGCCCGGAGAUGGGUACUGAGACACGGACCCAGGCCCUAUGGGGCGCAGCAGGCGAGAAAACUUUGCAAUGUGCGAAAGCACGACAAGGUUAAUCCGAGUGGUUCCUGCUAAAGGAAUCUUUUGUUAGUCAUAAUACCACUGAUGAAUAAGGGGUGGGCAAGUUCUGGUGUCAGCCGCCGCGGUAAAACCAGCACCUCAAGUGGUCAGGAGGAUUAUUGGGCCUAAAGCAUCCGUAGCCGGCUCUGUUAGUUUUCGGUUAAAUCCAUAUGCUCAACAUAUGGGCUGCCGGGAAUACUGCAAAGCUAGGGAGUGGGAGAGGUAGACGGUACUCCGUAGGAAGGGGUAAAAUCCUUUGAUCUAUGGAUGACCACCUGUGGCGAAGGCGGUCUACCAGAACACGUCCGACGGUGAGGGAUGAAAGCUGGGGAGCAAACCGGAUUAGAUACCCGGGUAGUCCCAGCUGUAAACCAUGCAAACUCAGUGAUGCGUUGGCUUGUGGCCAGCGCAGUGCCGCAGGAAGCCGUUAAGUUUGCCGCCUGGGAAGUACGUACGCAAGUAUGAAACUUAAAGGAAUUGGCGGGGGAGCACCACAAGGGUGAAGCCUGCGGUUCAAUUGGAUUCAACGCCGGA